GCCGAAGUGGCGGAACUGGCAGACGCGUAGCACUCAAAAUGCUAUGGGAGUAAUCCCGUGAGAGUUCAAGUCUCUCCUUCGGCA
RNAcentral lists this transfer RNA (84 nucleotides) under Candidatus Parcubacteria bacterium. RNAcentral describes it as "tRNA-Leu". It matches the Rfam family "tRNA". Rfam says of the family: Transfer RNA (tRNA) molecules are approximately 80 nucleotides in length. Lineage: Bacteria; Candidatus Parcubacteria. The record is from RNAcentral.